This 793-nucleotide ribosomal RNA is filed under the name uncultured Phellodon. Its description in RNAcentral is "eukaryotic LSU rRNA". The stretch from base 354 to 507 matches the Rfam family "5.8S ribosomal RNA". Lineage: Eukaryota; Fungi; Basidiomycota; Agaricomycetes; Thelephorales; Thelephoraceae. The record is from RNAcentral.
CUUGGUCAUUUAGAGGAAGUAAAAGUCGUAACAAGGUUUCCGUAGGUGAACUGCGGAAGGAUCAUUAAUAAAAAUGCAUGUCCCUUGGGGGGCUGUCGCUGGCAACUUUGCACGUGCACGCUCUCAAAGGCAUCCAUCCACUUCUCAUACACACACACACCUGUGCACAACCGCGAGGCUUCGCUUGUCAGUCAGUCACAGGCUUGGGAUCUCGUGCCCGUGGGGAAACCUGCAUCAUGAAAUAUCCCAUGUAUGAUCGAUACGCGUCGCCUUGCCCUUUCUUUACAUACACAUUAUAAAACACCACAUAGGAACGGCGUUUUGCGUGUGACUGCCUCACACGAAACAAAUACAACUUUCAGCAACGGAUCUCUUGGCUCUCGCAUCGAUGAAGAACGCAGCGAAAUGCGAUAAGUAAUGUGAAUUGCAGAAUUCAGUGAAUCAUCGAAUCUUUGAACGCACCUUGCGCCCCUUGGUAUUCCGAGGAGCAUGCCUGUUUGAGGGUCGUGAGAAGGAAAGGACUCAACUGCCGUCGGGCCCGCGGGACCCCCCUGCGACCGAGGGUGAAGUUGGAUGUGGAGGAUAUAUAUGUUGCUGGCUUUUCCGUCGGCUCCUCUUGAAUCAAUGCAGCCUUGUUCAUGGCGGAGUAACGUCGACGUGAUACUUUAUCCGCGUCGUUGUGAAAGGCCCACUUGCGAGCGAGGUUGAGGAAGCUUUUUUGCUUUUAAUCGCAGAUCGACCUCAAAUCAGGUAGGACCACCCGCUGAACUUAAGCAUAUCAAUAAGCGGAGGA